GCCACCGCCCACCGCCUGCUGCACCCCACCCUCUUCAGACACUACGCCACCGUGCGCAAUAGCUACACGUUCAAUAUACGCGAAGCUGGAAUUUGUGGUUCUGUGGCGAGACUUACAGCUGCGUACGAAAUUCUGACCGCACUGCGCAUCGGGCGCUCCUCCGCAAUGCUGAACAACACGACGCUUGUAUACGACGCGUUGCACGACGAUGAAAUGGUGUCAGUAGAUGCGUCAUUGGAACAGCUGACGCUGCGCGGGUACGCAACACUCGGACUGCGCACACAUAUUGUGUCGCUGCACGCUGUCAGGGCCGCAGCAGUACACACGCCCAAAGAUGGCGAGAUUAAACAAGCCUGGUUGUUUUCUGGUCCUGAAGCACCGACAACUUCGUAAG
Long non-coding RNA from Papilio polytes (common Mormon), 394 nucleotides. RefSeq lists it as uncharacterized. The transcript has 4 exons. Lineage: Eukaryota; Metazoa; Arthropoda; Insecta; Lepidoptera; Papilionidae. The record is from RefSeq and is a predicted model, not a curated record.